GAUAAAAUGGCUGAGGGUUAGGCAAUAGAUUGUAAAUCUAUUAACGGGGAGGAUUCCUCUUUUAUCA
RNAcentral lists this transfer RNA (67 nucleotides) under Taku spinosocarinatus. RNAcentral's name for it is "tRNA-Tyr". It matches the Rfam family "tRNA". Rfam says of the family: Transfer RNA (tRNA) molecules are approximately 80 nucleotides in length. The record is from RNAcentral. Lineage: Eukaryota; Metazoa; Arthropoda; Malacostraca; Stomatopoda; Takuidae.